This 377-nucleotide ribosomal RNA is filed under the name uncultured eukaryote. RNAcentral describes it as "partial 18S ribosomal RNA". It matches the Rfam family "Eukaryotic small subunit ribosomal RNA", at positions 592 to 976 of the family's 1831-position model. The record is from RNAcentral.
CAAUAGCGUAUAUUUAAGUUGCUGCAGUUAAAAAGCUCGUAGUUGGAUUUCGGGUGGGAAUGGCCGGUCCGCCGUUUCGGUGUGCACUUGCUACGCCCACCUUGCUGCCGGGGACGUGCUCUUGAGUUCACGCUCGGGACACGGAGUCGGCGAGGUUACUUUGAGUAAAUUAGAGUGUUCAAAGCAGGCCUACGCUCUGAAUACAUUAGCAUGGAAUAACACGAUAGGACUCUGGCCUAUCUUGUUGGUCUGUAGGACCGGAGUAAUGAUUAAGAGGGACAGUCGGGGGCAUUCGUAUUUCAUUGUCAGAGGUGAAAUUCUUGGAUUUAUGAAAGUCGAACUACUGCGAAAGCAUUUGCCAAGGAUGUUUUCAUUAA